RNAcentral lists this ribosomal RNA (319 nucleotides) under uncultured eukaryote. Its description in RNAcentral is "partial 18S ribosomal RNA". It matches the Rfam family "Eukaryotic small subunit ribosomal RNA", at positions 1470 to 1796 of the family's 1831-position model. The record is from RNAcentral.
CCCUUAGAUGUUCUGGGCUGCACGCGUGCUACAAUGGCGUUUCCAGCAAGUCUGCGAACCCGAGAGGGCCAGCGGAUCUUCGAAUUGGCGUCGUGAUCGGGACAGUCGAUUGCAAUUAUUUGACUCAAACGAGGAAUUCCUUGUAAUCGCGAUUCAUCAUAUCGCGCUGAAUACGUCCCUGCCCUUUGUACACACCGCCCGUCGCCCCUACCGAUUGAGCGAUCCGGUAAAUGUUUUGGAUUGGUGCCGGGGCGGCUAGCUGCCGGUCGCUACGAAAUUUUGUGAACCUUAUCGCUUAGAGGAAGGAAAAGUCGUAACA